This 386-nucleotide ribosomal RNA is filed under the name uncultured bacterium. Its description in RNAcentral is "bacterial SSU rRNA". It matches the Rfam family "Bacterial small subunit ribosomal RNA", at positions 28 to 416 of the family's 1533-position model. The record is from RNAcentral.
GACGAACGCUGGCGGCGUGCUUAACACAUGCAAGUCGAGCGGUAAGGCCCUUUCGGGGGUACACGAGCGGCGAACGGGUGAGUAACACGUGGGUGACCUGCCCUUAGCUCUGGGAUAAGCCUGGGAAACUGGGUCUAAUACCGGAUAUGACUCCAUGACGCAUGUUGUGGGGUGGAAAGCCUUGUGCGGCUAGGGAUGGGCCCGCGGCCUAUCAGCUUGUUGGUGGGGUGAUGGCCACCGAGGCGACGACGGGUAGCCGGCCUGAGAGGGCGACCGGCCACACUGGGACUGAGACACGGCCCAGACUCCUACGGGAGGCAGCAGUGGGGAAUCUUGCGCAAUGGGCGAAAGCCUGACGCAGCGACGCCGCGUGAGGGAUGACGGCC